AAUCAACGCUGGCGGCGUGCCUCAGACAUGCAAGUCGAACGCGAAAGGCCCCUUCGGGGGCCCGGUAGAGUGGCGCACGGGUGAGUAACACGUAGGUAAUUUGCCUUCGGGUGGGGAAUAACAGCCGGAAACGGCUGCUAAUACCGCAUAAUGCAGCGGCUCGACAUCGAGACAGUUGUUAAAGCGGGGGAUCGCAAGACCUCGCGCCUGAAGAGAAGCCUGCGGCAGAUAGCUUGUUGGUGAGGUAAUGGCUCACCAAGGCGACGAUCUGUAACCGGCCUGAGAGGGCGGUCGGUCACACUGACACUGACAUAC
This 315-nucleotide ribosomal RNA is filed under the name uncultured bacterium. Its description in RNAcentral is "bacterial SSU rRNA". It matches the Rfam family "Bacterial small subunit ribosomal RNA", at positions 32 to 327 of the family's 1533-position model. The record is from RNAcentral.